RNAcentral lists this ribosomal RNA (903 nucleotides) under uncultured archaeon. RNAcentral's name for it is "bacterial SSU rRNA". It matches the Rfam family "Archaeal small subunit ribosomal RNA", at positions 13 to 922 of the family's 1478-position model. The record is from RNAcentral.
CCUGCCAGACCUGACUGCUAUCGGAUUGAUACUAAGCCAUGCGAGUCGUUGUAGCAAUACAAGGCAUACGGCUCAGUAACGCGUAGUCAACCUAACCUAUGGACGGGAAUAACCUCGGGAAACUGAGAAUAAUGCCCGAUAGAACAUUAUGCCUGGAAUGGUUUAUGUUCCAAAUGAUUUAUCGCCAUAGGAUGGGACUGCGGCCUAUCAGUUUGUUGGUGAGGUAAUGGCCCACCAAGACUAUUACAGGUACGGGCUCUGAGAGGAGUAGCCCGGAGAUGGGUACUGAGACACGGACCCAGGCCCUAUGGGGCGCAGCAGGCGAGAAAACUUUGCAAUGUGCGAAAGCACGACAAGGUUAAUCCGAGUGAUUUCUGCUAAAGAGAUCUUUUGUUAGUCCUAGAAACACUAACGAAUAAGGGGUGGGCAAGUUCUGGUGUCAGCCGCCGCGGUAAAACCAGCACCUCAAGUGGUCAGGAUGAUUAUUGGGCCUAAAGCAUCCGUAGCCGGCUCUGUAAGUUUUCGGUUAAAUCUGUACGCUCAACGUACAGGCUGCCGGAAAUACUGCAGAACUAGGGAGUGGGAGAGGUAGACGGUACUCGGUAGGAAGUGGUAAAAUGCUUUGAUCUAUCGAUGACCACCUGUGGCGAAGGCGGUCUACCAGAACACGUCCGACGGUGAGGGAUGAAAGCUGGGGGAGCAAACCGGAUUAGAUACCCGGGUAGUCCCAGCUGUAAACUAUGCAAACUCAGUGAUGCAUUGGCUUGUGGCCAAUGCAGUGCUGCAGGGAAGCCGUUAAGUUUGCCGCCUGGGAAGUACGUACGCAAGUAUGAAACUUAAAGGAAUUGGCGGGGGAGCACCACAAGGGGUGAAGCCUGCGGUUCAAUUGGAUUCAACGCCGGA